UACGAAGGGGGCGAGCGUUGUUCGGAUUUACUGGGCGUAAAGGGCGCGUAGGCGGCCGAUCAAGUCAGGCGUGAAAGCCCCGGGACUCAACCUGGGAAUGGCGCUUGGGACUGGUUGGCUUGAGUUCGGGAGAGGAGAGUGGAAUUCCCAGUGUAGAGGUGAAAUUCGUAGAUAUUGGGAAGAACACCGGUGGCGAAGGCGGCUCUCUGGACCGAGACUGACGCAUGAG
Molecule: ribosomal RNA, 229 nt
Filed under: uncultured bacterium
Lineage: Bacteria
Description: partial 16S ribosomal RNA
Rfam family: Bacterial small subunit ribosomal RNA
Source: RNAcentral